GACAAACGCUGGCGGCGUGCCUAAUACAUGCAAGUCGAACGGUCUCUUUUCGGAGAGAUAGUGGCGGACGGGUGAGUAACACGUAGAUGACCUACCCUGAUGUGGGGAAUAACCCCUCGAAAGAGGAGCUAAUACCGCAUAAGCUGUGCAGCGUGGGCUGCACAGGAAAUGUUCUCCCUUUGGAAACAGAGGGAGAGCAGCAACAGGAGGGAUCUGCGGCGGAUUAGCUAGAUGGUGGGGUAACGGCCUACCAUGGCGACGAUCCGUAGCUGGUCUGAGAGGACGACCAGCCACACUGGGACUGAGACACGGCCCAGACUCCUACGGGAGGCAGCAGUAA
Molecule: ribosomal RNA, 340 nt
Filed under: uncultured bacterium
Lineage: Bacteria
Description: bacterial SSU rRNA
Rfam family: Bacterial small subunit ribosomal RNA
Source: RNAcentral